UCUGCUCCUUCCCCGCCCAUUCCCACCGGACACCAACCACCUGUCGCUCCCACUCUUACUCCGAACCUCCCUCGCCCCCUCGCACACUCACUGCGCCGACGGCCCGACGCGGCGGCUUCGUUGUCUAAUCUCAGGUGCUACACCCACUGAACGCGGGCGGAGAUGGCCGAUUGCGCUACCGGAGACAAGAGAAGCUCGACCCCGGAGACCGCCAUGUCGUUACGCUGCGGCCGGUAGGGGAUAUGCGGGGACCUCAAGGAUGACGAUGAGUGCCCGUCUGCUUCGGUGACAACGAACAGCAGAGGUGAGCAUUUCGCUCUCCAGCUUCGCCCUAUUAGGAGGAAUUCUGCCGGCUGCUGUAGUACUUGCAGAAUUCGGCUGAUUUCUUAUUUAAGUUCGGCUGAGAUUUUUCUUUAAGGAAAAAAAAAAGAAGAAGAAACGGCAAUAGCAUCGUAGUCUGCAUUAGGGCCUCUGUUGUGCGUGAAUUUGACACAUUGCAGUAGUAGAACUUGGACUGCAAAUUACUGCCGGUCAAUGAAUUUUGUUUGUUUAGUUUUUUCCUUCUUUUUUUGGUAUACCAAGCUUGGUGAUGUUUGAAUUUUAGAUGAAGUGCCAAAUUUUUCACGAACUUUCAUGUUGGCAACUAGUAAGUAGUAAGUACUAAAUAGUAACAUUGAAAUGCACUUAGCCACUCAGGCCAUUCUGAAAAUGCUCUAUUAUCUGUAUCUGUAUGUGUAUGUCAGACAACUUUGGAGUGCGCUACCGCUAAAAGUUCAGCUACAAUUCCUUUUGAGCUGCUGCAGAAACUACCUUAUCUCUGAAUGAUUUUCCUCUGUCAGGAUCUAAGUUUUGAGUAAUAAGGCUAAGAUACAGGGAAAAGUACAGAACCAAAUCCACUAAUCUGUUCAUAUCACAGUUUAUGGACCUGAACUGACGAACCGUUUGGUGACAUUGCUGUUGGUUACGAGUAUUAAAACAUUAAUAUCUGAUAAUAAUAACCUUUGUACAGAAACUAUGUGAUCUCUUGAAUCAAUCGAAAAGGAAACAUGGAAUUUUCUUUUCUCCUGACAACUAAUGGCAUCAAUGGCACCUGUAAUGACUUCCCUAUAUAAGUUUAUGCUCAUAUUGUAAGGUUUUCUUGGAUAUUCAUAAACGAGCCGCAGAUGUUCCCGCCGAGGUCUGGAAACGUGGCGCACCCGGGCAGAGGGUUCACCUUGCCAUCGGGAUCGACACUAACGGGGUACUUGAGCAGAUGGCCCUUCAUCUUAGUCACAUGGCUGGAGAAAAAUUGAUCCCAGUUCUUCUGCCCAAUGUGCCGCACUUGCCUCAUGCACUCCAGGCUUUCCGGCCUGGUGAAGCUCUCCUCAAUGGCUCCGAUGUGCUCCGCCCAUAGAGACAUCCUGUACCCGAAAAUCUGCAGGUAAAAACACAGUGAGCACAGUUAAUUCCUCUAUAUGUGAAAAUAUGUAUGUCUCCAGUGUAUUCUUGAAAGGAAAAUAACAUCCAAAAUACAGUGCAACCUUCUUUCUCUCACUUUGCCACAGUAAAUAUGAUACUGUAGAUGACACCACGGCAUACCAAGUUACCAACUUAUCAGAACUGAAGCUCAUUACCUGUCCACGAGGGGCAGAAAGCGUAUUUGCCCAUGUGUGUUGUGGUUGGUAUGCACCCAUUGCAAUCUCUGUAUCUCUGGUUCCUUCCAUGGACCUCUGGUUGAUGUUAGCUGAUCCAAUGAUCACAUACUCAUCAUCCACAAUCAUUCCUUUCGAGUGCACAUAAACCAUGAAUCUCCCGUUCUUCCGAGAUUGGUCCUGAUUGAUUGUACAAGUUGAGAGAGAGCGAGAAACAUGAAUUCUGCAUAUUGUAUUCUUUCUUUAUUUUUUUUCUUUAGAAAAAUGCAGCCUGCAGCUUGGCCACUUGCAAGUGCGCCACAAUCAGCAGUAGAAAACAGAACUCCAACCUGCAGUCUCACCUGUGGGUUGCUGGCUGAGAAUGUUCCGCUGGAAGAGCAAGAAGUGUCCUCAGCUUCACGAUUACCAAGGCAGAAGAAGUUCAGGGAUUAACAUAAUUUGGAGUGGUGGACACAAUACGGGAGUGACAUGGGAGUGUGUGAGAUCCAAGUAUGUGUUCAGGACUCCAGAUCAAAAGGGAAAAGAAAUUUUAUGCUCACCGAUAUCUUUAUUCGAAUCCCAGUUGAAUGAAGAACCAAGAAAAUACUGGUUCUCAAUGUAGAUGAAAUGUUGGGCACCUCGGAUUGCAUUCACGUAAGCUGUAUGCACGCUCAUAUCAAUCAGUACAUUUUUCCCACAAACAAGAUUCUGUUGACCAAAGCAAAAGUUACCUUACUGGUGGCUUCUCGUGGGUCUUUCGGAAAACCCUUGACAGAGUUCGAAUCAAUUGAUCGGAAAAUCUGCUUUCCAAGUAAAAUUUGCUCAGGGCUCUACCAGAUGACUGGAAAAUUUGCUUUGCAAUUAACAAUGGAAUACUUUGCAAGACUUACCUGAACAUCCCAUCUCUCUGGAUCAUUGUCAUUUGAAUAGACUUCAUCGUCAAUAGUUGCAAUAUCAGUUUUUCAGGACAUCAUAUGCUGCCGGACCGUCGAUCUUGGAAUGCAGGUCAUGCCAUGGCUCUCUUGGGCCACGGGCAUCUUCUACCUGCAAGGAAGUGUUUUAUGAGGAUCUAACAAAUUGCAACAAAGCUCCAAGACCAUUGCAUAAAGUCAACAGCUAGGUCAGUUGAAGACGAUAUAUGUGAGAAAGAAUAUCCACCGCAAAGUUUGGGUUGUAAUAGUCCUCCUUGUGAAAUGUGUGGAGAGUCCGAAAUAGAGUAUGUCUUGGUGUGUCAUAUCGCCCUCCGCAUAAAUCAAGGCCUCCUACAAAAGCAACGAUCUUCCUUCUAUGGUUGUCGGCAUCAGCAUCCACGAUUACCGUUUUCUGAUGAUGAGUGAAUAUAGUCCCUGUUUCCUGAAACCAAUAGUUACCAUCAGUGCACAUUGCAAAGGAAGGAUGGAGGUUGUAUGCAUGCAUAAUCUUAUAUGAUCGUCAGAAUAGUGAGGCCGGAUAAGACCUGUUGCUUCACCCAGCUGUGCCUUUUCCCAGCAGAUCGUGGGCAAAGCAGUAUCUGAACUGAAGAAUGCUUGAAAAAUCUACGUGUCUCUUCAUCCCGCGUGCCCAUGUAGCCUUCCUACAUAUAGGAAUGGCAAUGAGCAGCAAACAAGUUUUGUUCAGAUUCUAGAACUUGGCAUAUAGUACCAUUGUUUCAUACAUGGACAUAUUCAUGAA
Long non-coding RNA from Panicum virgatum (switchgrass), 3281 nucleotides. RefSeq lists it as uncharacterized. NCBI's taxonomy places the organism in Eukaryota, Viridiplantae, Streptophyta, Magnoliopsida, Poales, Poaceae. The transcript has 5 exons. The record is from RefSeq and is a predicted model, not a curated record.